This is a long non-coding RNA of Apis cerana (Asiatic honeybee), 7428 nucleotides long. RefSeq lists it as uncharacterized. The record is from RefSeq and is a predicted model, not a curated record. Lineage: Eukaryota; Metazoa; Arthropoda; Insecta; Hymenoptera; Apidae.
UUUAAAGACACAUGUCACCGAUAAGUAAAUCUUACACGCGAUUAAAACGAAACAAUUUCACGUGCCACGUGUUCGACGAUUUCACACCACUUGUCGACCAAUCGAGCCGAUUAUGCCUCCUGUACAUCUCAUAUCGCAAUUGAGCACCGCCGAUCCAACGUUAUGACGGGUACAGGUAGUGAGUUUAUGUGGGAUGGAAUAGCUGCGAUUCAAUGUACCAAGUUGCAACGGGUCGAGACCUUAUCGAUGCAUCGUGCAUCUCCUGCUAUUUCCAUUCCCCACCCCUCCCCACAUGGCAAAACCUGAAAACGUUUCCUUCGAGUAACUUUGCACUUACGCGUGGGAACACGUCCUUCGUUCCACGCCACCUCUUCCAAACCCUUCUUUCUCAUCUUAUUUCGUGUAAUGUUUCAAGGUCAUCGCCAUCAGAAAAUUAUAAAACUAUCCAAUUUCAUAGAUAUAAUAUUCUUACAAUUUGAUUAAUAAAAUGAUUUCUUCUAAUUUCAUAGAGUAAAGAGAAUUUCGUCUUUUCGAAUUUUGAGAAUUAUAUAUAUAUAAUUUACAAGACAAAGAAUUAAAAUUCGAGAGAGGUGAAAGUAAAUUUUUGAAUAAAUUCAACGUUCGAAAAAUGUUGCGAAAAAAUAAAUGAAUAUCCUCGAUCAAACGAUAUCGCGAUAAUAGAGCGAUACGCAGGAUCGCUUUCGUUGCACGACUUACAACUCGUUAAACUCCUCCCCUCCAAUCAUUUGUUUCCAUUAUGUCGUCUCAACGUUCCAUGAUAAAUCACCGUGACGCGUUGCGAAUCGCUUCUGCGCUGGUCCGGCCGCGGCCGUGACAAAUUGUGCCAGAUGUAAAUCGUUUUAAUAUCGCCUCGAAGAAUCCGCGGCCACGAAGGCCGGAAAGAACCGACCGCCGAUCGAUCACGGAUCAUCCCGCGUUGCCGAAUUCUUUUACGGCCGCGUCAGAUGCCCCGGGUGAACGAUGACAACCGCUCCUCGAAGAUGGACCCCGCUUUCGUCUUUCGACGGCCGUGACACCGUCUCGCGGGAUCCGCCGUGACGCCUCUUGUGAAAAACAAUGUAUCCGUAAAACGAAUUCGUUAACGCGAGUGUUGCAAAAAGUGAAAAUUGUUGGAUUAAGUUUUGGAAGGAUUGGGAGCCUCUGUGGUUCCAUUCUUCUUAUCGAUAUUUUUUUUUUUUUUUUUAACGUUAACGAAGAGUUGUUUUCGGUGGGGCGAAUUGUUUUGAUAUUUUUAUUUUUGGAUACGAUUCUUGUUACAGUUUCAUUCGUAUUUGUAUGAAUUAAUGUUCUUGAAAGUGGUCAAGAUUAGAGUAAUUGAGGGCUUUAUGAAGAAGAUAUGGAAGAGUUUAAUUUAAAUUGAGGAAUUUAUAACGAAAAAGAGGUAUUACAUAUAUGUACGUAAAUAACGUGAUAUGAAAUAUGUUAAUACAUUUAUGAUUUAUGAUAAUAAUCAGAGGGCUAUAAAUUUUCAUUGUUUAUUAAAAAGUAUAUAGUAAAUGAAACCAUAGAAAAAUAAUUACAAUUUACUACAAAUUAUUUUAUCCGUAACUUUUUAACUCAAAUAAUAUAACAGAAGAGAAGGGAGUAGAAAGAGAAAGGAAGUAUCUGGAUACUUUUGUAGAGAAUCUCAAAAGUAAAGACAGAGGAUCUUAAAGGAUCGUGUAUUCACGAAGGAUAUAUAACGGCAACCGAGCUUUGUGCAUCGGUCGGCCAUAAAUCAGAAGAAAUACGAGGCGACUUUAAUGGUCGUAGCGAUUUUUAUCCGCCCUUCGAGAGUGAGCUGCGAGAAGAAGAAAAGAGAAGAAAAAAAAAGGAGUGAUCCUUUUGCACGUGAAGUGUUGAAAAUAUUAAAAUAGGGAGCGAGUAUUCGGGACUAAUUACGAGAAAUUUCGUGAUUUAUGUCGAGCUUGAAUCAUCUUUUUGAGAACUCGUUGCAAAAUUAUCAACACGUAUGAUCAAGUUUGACUAAUGAAUAAGAUGUAGCACAACAUUGUUACUUUAUCGAAAAUGGAUUUUCAUAUUUUUAUUAUUUAAUAUCUCAGUCGAAGAUACUUUGUGAGAUGAUUUAUAAAUCGUUUCGUGUUUCAACGAUGGGAAUUGCAAGCAUUUCAAUUUGAUUUUCUCUCCAUGAAAAAUAAUCGAACGGAAUAACUGAAAUUUUAAUGUAAGUCUCUUUCGAUCUCUUUCCAUUGGGAUCGAAGCUUUCGAAGAAGCGAAUUUAUGUCUUUUCGCUUCAGUAGAGCGUAGUAUAUUGUUAACGGGUGACUCGAACUCGUGGCAGAAAUAUUUCUCAGAGUGGAGGCUAAGGAUAUUCAAUUCUGGCAUAGGUGCGAGUAGUGUUUUGUUACACAAAGUUACGAGGGUUGGGGCAACGAACUAUGGAUUUAUCUGUGUAUUAAGAAUAGAUCGCAGCUUUUUACAUAUAUAAGUCGUUUUAUUGCAAAUCAACAUUUACUGGCUGUAAUUAUCUUCUCUUUAAUAAUUUGCGUAAUUAAACGUUCACGUUCAUCGAUUUAGAAAUAGAAAAAUAUACGAUCUGACAUUAAAGAAAAUUAUGACCAAGAAAUUUAUAUCUGUUCUCACGUUUGAAAAUUUACAUUUUAUUAAUGCAAAAUAUCCACUUCACGAAUUUACGAAUAUUAAAAACACAAAAAGUUAGUUGUCUUUUAUAUCUUUUGAAAAACGUAAAUCAAUGGAUACAGUCAUAAAAAUGUAUUUCAAAUAUAUAUAUAUAUUUUUUUAUUUCCAAUUUAUAGAGAUUUUACGAGUGUCGCUAUUAUUUCAUAGAAUAUUCGAAAGUAAAAAAUAUUUCCACCAUCUUUCUUCCAAAUCGAUCGUUUAAAAUCAGUGAAAACAUUUUUAUACAAGUAGGCGUGCAAGACAAAAAAAAAAAUAUAUAAAUUCUAACCAACUGUAAACGAAUUUUAAAUUUUACACCUAUAAAAAAUAAACCCACGCUAAUAUAAAGGUAUAAAACAAAACAUCGUUUUCAACUUAUCAGCCUCGUAAGCUCUUCGAUCAGAGAGUAACGAACAUUUUUACGACAUCGCAGCAUCCAUAGUUGCACCCAUCCCAGAACUCGAUCGUUCAAUCGAUCCAUUAUCACAUCUCGGGAAGAUCUCUGUUCCUAUAUUCAUCGUUUCUUUCCUCCUCGACAAUCUCAAGGUUUCUUUCGGAUCAACGAACACAAUGUUCAAUCGAUAAAAUCGCGCAUCUAUAAACCUAACCUCAACUUUCCAUAGAUCGCUAUAUAUCUUUCUCCUAUAAAAUUAUUAUUUAGAAUUUAUAUACUUUUAUCGUACGCGUGAAGGAAAAAAAUUUAUAUUCAUUUCGUUUAUAUUAUUUGUCGCAAAAUACUAGAAAGAUCUGUAUAUAAAUAUUUCUUCGAUUCCAAUAUCACUGGAGUGAUUCAGCGUUAAUUAACGACACGUGUCGCUUCUGCGAGCGUAUUUAAUUCCGAGUGAUAUUCCGAUCGAGAGCUAAAUGGUCUCGGCUCGAUCCGAUUUGCAUCCUCGCUACGCUGUACUUGGACUUAUCUCCGACAAGCCUCGUCUCUUGUGCUUUUAGUUGGAAACGAAUCGCGUCGUCUUUCUGAACACUUUGUAAUUACCGGCCGUUGCUCAGCCGCCAAUUUACGAUUCCGACUCGAGCCGAGUCGUCUUAUUGUGCAAAAUCAGGCGCGUAAUUUAACCUUAUCGAGCUUAACUCUUAGAGUAUCGUGUUUGGAUAUGUUUUAAUACAUGUUUUAAUCCAUUUAAAGUUAGGGAGUUAUUUGAAGAACAUCUUAUCUCGGGAUUAUCUUAGAUUGGUAAUGGUUUGAAAAAAAAAUUGUGUACAUUUUACUUCGUAUGUUUCGAAAAGGAGAGUUAAUUCAAGUAUAUUUAAAAAAUAUACUCUAUUUUUCUCAAUUUUUAAUUGUAAUUAGAUUAUUAGGGAUUACACUUGAAAUUAAGAAGUAUUUUCAUUAAUUAUCGUGUCACAUUUAAUUUUAAUCUUGUUCCUCGAUUCUCAUUCGUAUUCAUUUCAACAUGUUUCUUUAUAUUUUAUUACGUUCAUUCGAACGACGACUUUAUACCAUCUUUUUUUUUUUUUUUUAGCAACAUUCAUACAUAUAUCUUCGUCAAUUUAAAGUCGUAUUAAUUACACACACGCCCUGCACACGCAUUCAUUUAUGCACUCCUUUUAAAUACUUGGCAUACCACUCUGCUCUCAUUUGUCACGAACUGAUUUUUUUUUUUUUGUUCAAUACCUUGAUGAAUGUGAUGUAUGCAUGCGAUCGAGUAAUUGUACGCGAGACAUUUGUCAAACAAGUGUGUAGAAUAAUUUCUGUUUAAUUUCAAAAUAAGAUACGUAUCCAUCGCCACUGAUAAUUUCCUUCUUUUUGUUUCAAUCCUCGUACAAAUUGGAAUAAAUCGAAUAAAUAAAUUAAUGAAUAAAAAUAAGGAAAAAAGAAAAUAAACGUGUUUCGAAACAAGUGAUCUUCUUUUUUCUUUUUUUUAAAUGGCACGAAGGUAUGCUUAAAAUUAAAAUGGCAUCGAAAAGCGGCCAACGCGAUAAGGUUCGCGGUUUGUCACCAAGUAUCCAGUUACGAUGGUUGUAGAAGCCGAGUCGAAAAAAUAAUCCUCACGCGUGUGACAGGUAUAUGGACACUGAUUCGCGAAGGUCGUUCAAUGCCACCCUGAUCCUGCUGAUCCUAAAUCACGAUUAUUGCUCCAUUCACACUCAAGUUUCUAAUGAUACGCUUUUUUUUUACCAUAGAACCAACGACCAAGAGAAAACGAGCCUUUCUUUCACGAUUUAUUGGCCAACAAAAAGAAUUUUAUAAGGUCUUAAAAUAAAAUAUGGUAUACAUAAUGUUUCAUUCCUCACCAAAAACUGUCUGUCAUCCUUUUACGGUGCCAUCUUGUUCUUGUUUCAGAACCCUUUAUAUCAAAAGUUUAGCCAUGUUUUUAUUAGCCAGUUUUAUAGCGUGUACGAAUUUUUAUUUUUACGAGUGUAUCCAUAUGGGGGGGUGCGUUUGAUAAAAAUAUAGCGAUUAUCUUAUAAAGGAGUAAGCUUGUUCUUUAUGCUUUUUUAAGCAUCGUUGGAUAUCGUUUUUAUUAGCCGUUUGUAUAAAUUUUUACAUCGAUCCAAGUCGUGAACAAGUUUGAUCGAAAAAGAAAAAAAAAAACUUUUUCUCGAUGCAUCGGAUAAAAAGAUUAGCUCGCUCGGAUUAUUAAUAAAAAAAAAAAAAGGUUGAAAGAAAACGACUCGUUUCAAUCAAAAAUAACUUUUCUUUCCCGUUUCGCAAAAUGCAUUAAUCCUCGCACACCUCGUAAUUUCCUCGCACAUCCGGUAACCAUAAUCCUCGAGGCUUCGAGGAACUCCUUGAUAGGAGAUUUGCACAAAGUGUUGGUUGAUGCUAAUAAAAAUACGAGCAAGCUGUUCCGUGGCGUGUAUAUAUACGCGUUUAACACAUUAUCCCUUACGCCCGUUACGCAUUACGUUCCGGGGAAUUGCACAGGAAAUAUGUCACGUUGCGCGUUCAUAAAGAGCGCUUAAUUGCUCUUAAGACUCUUGCGCUGUCGCUGCACGGAUCCUCGGGUUAUCCAUCCGGUCUAAAUGAAAUCGCGCAAGUUCACCUUGAGGAUGGGAUCGAUUUAACUUCUCGUGAAAAUCGUUUUUGACGCCGUUCUCACUUGUUCGUCCUUUCUUUUUUCUUUUUUUUUUUUGCCUGGUUUUAUUUCAACUUUUGUUCUCUGUAAAGUAACCUCGCUCCUUGAAACGAAAUUGACGCUCUCAUUAAAAUCAUUUUCGCGUUUUAAUUCUGGCCGGGAUGGCAGAAUGAUAUUACGAAGUUACACGAAGUUUCAAAUUUCACUUCUGAACGAUCCGUUUAUUUGCAAUAUUUUUCAUUUACUUGAGAGAGAAGAAAAUUCAAUUUUAAAAAUCUUCUACAUUAAAUACAUUUACUCGUUUACUCAGAAUUAUUUUAUAUAAUUGAUAUAACUAGAAAUAUAGCACGACGAAAGGGAGUUAUAAGAAGCAAUUCGAAUUCAACAAUAUCGGCUCCUAUUCGAAACCGAUAUACAAUAUGAUCAAUUCAAACCAAUCAUCUUUCCAAUUCGAUUCUCCGUACCGGAAUACCUCGUAAUCUUCGCCAAUGACUCCGCAAAAUGUCUUCAAUAUUUUCAAUCGAGAGCGAUUCGAUUGUUCCAUUGGGAACAAGAAACGGGUUCACGCCUCGUAGAAAAAGAAAAGAAAGAAAAAGAAUGGAAGAAAAGCUAUUGGAGAGACGAGGCACUUCGACGUUCCGGUAUCAUCAUCGCGGCGAUUCGAAAAAUUCGAGGGAGCAGGGGCCUGGCCGACCGCCAGGCGCCAAAAAUUUAAAUUGCCGAAGGUAAAGGGGAAUCCCGAUCGAGAGGAAGCCAACGAGGGAGGCGUCGCGUGCACAAAAGGAAAACGGAUGCGACCCGAGAUGAGCCAGGACACGUGGCCUGCUUCGCUUCGGGCAGCCAGUUUAUUCGUCCUUGCGAGGUCUUCCAACCCUGGCCACGACUGGCGUCAACGGCCCAAAUACAUAUAUGACGCAAGGAAUUGGCGUUUAGAUCCAUAUAUAGGGUGUUUCCAGAAACACUUCCCUCUGAAAUUAUUCGUUUUGCAAUUAUUCGAGAUCUAUUUAAGAUUUGGUAAUAGUUUUGUUAAGUCUUUUUUUCUAAAUUAUUUUACUUGCUUUAGUUUCAUCUCAGAGACAAUUUGUUAUUUUUAUUCGUUAAGAUUUAAGGAUAGCAAGGAUAAUCAAUUUUUGAAACAAUCUGUACACUUUAUUUUUAAUUUGUUAUCGCUUAUUAUUUUUAGUGACUGUUAUUAAUAACACAACUUCAAUAUAAAGACAAAUAUAGUUUAAUAAAUUCUGAAAUAUCCUGUACAUUCAUAUACCAAGAAUAAUUAUAAUUAUCUAAUAUUAUUUUUAGUGGACUGUGGAUUGUUAAAUGGUUUGGAAAAAAAACAAAGCGAAUUUUGAAACACGUUGUAUAUUCACAAUGUAUCAAAGGUAUCUACAUUUAAUUUCUGCGAUCUACGCGUCUACGCUAAACAAUAUCAGACAUAACCUCAACGCGGGUAAAAGGGAGCCAAGGAUUUAACCGGCCACAAGUGAAAUUCUGCACACGUGGACGUAACUCUCGGGUGGUUUUAACCAGGCAACGAGGAAAACCGCAAAGUAUCGCGGAUCUCUUUUUAUCGAAUUCGCCAUCGUGCGACUAAGAUCGCUUCGGGGUAUUUCGAGGCACGAUGAUAAAUCCUCGACUCGGGAAACGUUCUGAGUGUGAGAAUCGAUUGCUUUUCAAAUCUUUCAAAUUUUUGGCGCCGAUUUUGAAUGAUAUUAAUUGUAACGAAUAAUAAUUCAGCGAAACUUUUUCUCAACAA